RNAcentral lists this ribosomal RNA (696 nucleotides) under Triticum aestivum (bread wheat). RNAcentral's name for it is "partial small subunit ribosomal RNA". Lineage: Eukaryota; Viridiplantae; Streptophyta; Magnoliopsida; Poales; Poaceae. The record is from RNAcentral.
AUGGCAUCUAGCCCCAACUCCGUGGUUGCGCCUUCCCGCCGGGCUGGCGAGCGGCCGGUAGUGUCCUCGUGCUCGGAGUCGUCGGGGGCUGUGGGUGGCCCUGAGGUCUCGUCGGGGUUGCAGCGCGUCGAGGGCCUGGGCGCCAGUCCGGUGGCUGCGGGCGCGGGGACGGGGACGGGCGGUCACCGGCAGGUGGCGCAGUGGGCCCCGACACCGCCGUCCAGGAAGACCCUAUGGAGGCGGCGCCAUGACCGGGAUCUCCAGGCCCUGCAGCAGCGCCCCCGUCCUUCUUCGUCUUCCCCGCGCCGAGAGAUGUCCCCGGACAUGGACGGGCUCUGCAUCCGGUGCCUGCGGGAGGGCCACUUCCGGCACGACUGCACCAACCAAAUUGUCUGCAUCAGAUGUGGCGAGGAAGGGCACGGCUCCAGGGGCUGCAAGCAGCCUCGCAGUCCUUCGUCGGAAGCGGAGCUUCGGCGUCAAGCGGUGGCCAUGGUGGCGCGGCGCACUUCCCGGGUGGCAUCUUCUCCAAGCAGCUCACUUCCGCCGCUGCCGCUGCCACCACUGACGGCUCCGGUGCAGGCUUGGCUGAGGCUUGGUGCGCAGCACCCCCUCCCUCGGCCCCUCGACUUCAGAUGCAGAUGGAUGCGGCCAUGGGUCCGUCGGAGCUAUGCGUCGUUCGUCGUACUCUGGCCAUGA